CUGAGGCUUCAGUGUGUUAGUAGAACAUGUUAGUGAACUCAGGACCAGCUGGAUGAGGGGACUGAGGCUUCAGUGUGUUAGUAGAACAGGUUAGUGAACUCAGGACCAGCUGGAUGAGGGGACUGAGGCUUCAGUGUGUUAGUAGAACAGGUUAGUGAACUCAGGACCAGCUGGAUGAGGGGACUGAGGCUUCAGUGUGUUAGUAGAACAGGUUAGUGAACUCAGGACCAGCUGGAUGAGGGGACUGAGGCUUCAGUGUGUUAGUAGAACAGGUUAGUGAACUCAGGACCAGCUGGAUGAGGGGACUGAGGCUUCAGUGUGUUAGUAGAACAGGUUAGUGAACUCAGCCCCAGGACCAGCUGGAUGAGGGGACUGAGGCUUCAGUGUGUUAGUAGAACAGGUUAGUGAACUCAGCCCCAGGACCAGCUGGAUGAGGGGACUGAGGCUUCAGUGUGUUAGUAGAACAGGUUAGUGAACUCAGGACCAGCUGGAUGAGGGGACUGAGGCUUCAGUGUGUUAGUAGAACAGGUUAGUGAACUCAGGACCAGCUGGAUGAGGGGACUGAGGCUUCAGUGUGUUAGUAGAACAGGUUAGUGAACUCAGGACCAGCUGGAUGAGGGGACUGAGGCUUCAGUGUGUUAGUAGAACAGGUUAGUGAACUCAGGACCAGCUGGAUGAGGGGACUGAGGCUUCAGUGUGUUAGUAGAACAGGUUAGUGAACUCAGGACCAGCUGGAUGAGGGGACUGAGGCUUCAGUGUGUUAGUAGAACAGGUUAGUGAACUCAGGACCAGCUGGAUGAGGGGACUGAGGCUUCAGUGUGUUAGUAGAACAGGUUAGUGAACUCAGGACCAGCUGGAUGAGGGGACUGAGGCUUCAGUGUGUUAGUAGAACAGGUUAGUGAACUCAGGACCAGCUGGAUGAGGGGACUGAGGCUUCAGUGUGUUAGUAGAACAGGUUAGUGAACUCAGGACCAGCUGGAUGAGGGGACUGAGGCUUCAGUGUGUUAGUAGAACAGGUUAGUGAACUCAGGACCAGCUGGAUGAGGGGACUGAGGCUUCAGUGUGUUAGUAGAACAGGUUAGUGAACUCAGGACCAGCUGGAUGAGGGGACUGAGGCUUCAGUGUGUUAGUAGAACAGGUUAGUGAACUCAGGACCAGCUGGAUGAGGGGACUGAGGCUUCAGUGUGUUAGUAGAACAGGUUAGUGAACUCAGCCCCAGGACCAGCUGGAUGAGGGGACUGAGGCUUCAGUGUGUUAGUAGAACAGGUUAGUGAACUCAGGACCAGCUGGAUGAGGGGACUGAGGCUUCAGUGUGUUAGUAGAACAGGUUAGUGAACUCAGGACCAGCUGGAUGAGGGGACUGAGGCUUCAGUGUGUUAGUAGAACAGGUUAGUGAACUCAGGACCAGCUGGAUGAGGGGACUGAGGCUUCAGUGUGUUAGUAGAACAGGUUAGUGAACUCAGGACCAGCUGGA
This is a long non-coding RNA of Oncorhynchus keta (chum salmon), 1474 nucleotides long. RefSeq lists it as uncharacterized. The transcript is spliced from 4 exons. The record is from RefSeq and is a predicted model, not a curated record. Lineage: Eukaryota; Metazoa; Chordata; Actinopteri; Salmoniformes; Salmonidae.